UCCAGACUCCUACGGGAGGCAGCAGUGAGGAAUAUUGGUCAAUGGCCGAGAGGCUGAACCAGCCAAGUCGCGUGAAGGAUGACGGCCCUACGGGUUGUAAACUUCUUUUGUCAGGGAGCAAUUGAGUCCACGUGUGGGCUUAGCGAGAGUACCUGAAGAAAAAGCAUCGGCUAACUCCGUGCCAGCAGCCGCGGUAAUACGGAGGAUGCGAGCGUUAUCCGGAUUUAUUGGGUUUAAAGGGUGCGUAGGCGGGCGGUUAAGUCAGCGGUCAAAUGUCGGGGCUCAACCCCGGCCUGCCGUUGAAACUGGCGGCCUCGAGUGGGCGAGAAGUAUGCGGAAUGCGUGGUGUAGCGGUGAAAUGCAUAGAUAUCACGCAGAACUCCGAUUGCGAAGGCAGCAUACCGGCGCCCGACUGACGCUGAGGCACGAAAGCGUGGGUAUCGAACAGGAUUAGAUACCCGGGUAAA
Molecule: ribosomal RNA, 467 nt
Filed under: uncultured bacterium
Lineage: Bacteria
Description: bacterial SSU rRNA
Rfam family: Bacterial small subunit ribosomal RNA
Source: RNAcentral